UUUUAGAUGCCAGAGAGAAAAUUACUGGUGUCAGGAUAUAACCUUAUUGUUUCACAAGUUUGACAUAACAUUCAAUGGGAAAUCAUUUUGGAUGAGUGCCACUAAAACCCACACGAAUACAAGCUGGCUUUCUGGUAUUAUUUCAGAUCCUUGAUGGAGGAAAAAUGCAUGUCUGGGAGCAAUCACACUCAAGCAUAUAUCUUCCUCUGAUGCAAUUUUGUGAAUCCAAAGUGAUAAAAAGAAGUUGUGACUUUUGACAUUACUGAAUAAAUUCUGAGGUGUAUCUCAAAUAAAGCUGUAGGAGGCAAAUAUAAAGAAUCAGCAAACACCUUUAACCUGGACUCCUUGAAACUAAUCUUGGAUUCAUUUGAGAGGGUUUGGUUGAAGACAUCAUUAUGGAAGGGAGGAAAAGGUGAAAUCUCAAGUAUUUGGAAGGCUCUGAAUAGGUUCUUAGGUUGAAGUUAGCAAACUUUAUUGCCAGCAACUCCUCCACUUUUGUUUUAAAAUAUCUUCUAAUAGUAUUUCACAAAUUUCAUUCGGCUCUAUACUACAUACAAAUAUUUAUAAAUAAAGGAUCAUAUUAU
RNAcentral lists this long non-coding RNA (584 nucleotides) under Vulpes vulpes (red fox). Its description in RNAcentral is "lncRNA (ENSVVUG00000018196.1)". The record is from RNAcentral. Lineage: Eukaryota; Metazoa; Chordata; Mammalia; Carnivora; Canidae.